GACGAAUACUCCACAGGUUGCUUUUGGCUUGUGGGCCGUUUCAUAUGUUGGAAGCUUCUUCAACUUUCUGACUCUGUUCUACAUGGGGGUCAUUUUCAGUCUUGUGAUUCCUCCAUUAUAUGAGAAUUACCAAGAUCAAAUUGAUGAUAAGCUCAUUUUGGCACAUAACAUCAUCCGUUCUAAGUACAAGAAAAUCGAUGAUACAAUUUUGAAAAAGAUUUAUGUGCCUCUAAACAAGGAAAAGAAGUUUCAGUAAAUCUAAGGUGUGGAGUCUCUAUGGCCCUCUCCUGUACUUUUGGCUAAGCACUUAGGAUGAACAUACCAGGAGCAUUGUGAAUGAAUAGAAUGGUAUCGACUGCCAUUCACUCAAAUGCUUUAGAGGGUGUAGCUGAUAUGUACAAUUUCCUCAUUUUUCUUGUUUUUUGAAGACCAUUGGUGUAACAAAUUCUGGCUAAUGCUUCACUUGCCUUUUCUAACUA
This is a long non-coding RNA of Ipomoea nil (Japanese morning glory), 479 nucleotides long. RefSeq lists it as uncharacterized. The transcript is spliced from 3 exons. Lineage: Eukaryota; Viridiplantae; Streptophyta; Magnoliopsida; Solanales; Convolvulaceae. The record is from RefSeq and is a predicted model, not a curated record.